GACGAACGCUGGCGGCGUGCCUAAUACAUGCAAGUAGAACGCUGAAGAGAGGAGCUUGCUCUUCUUGGAUGAGUUGCGAACGGGUGAGUAACGCGUAGGUAACCUGCCUGGUAGCGGGGGAUAACUAUUGGAAACGAUAGCUAAUACCGCAUAACAACAGUUGUUGCAUGACAGCUGUUUAAAAGAUGCAAUUGCAUCACUACCAGAUGGACCUGCGUUGUAUUAGCUAGUUGGUGAGGUAACGGCUCACCAAGGCGACGAUACAUAGCCGACCUGAGAGGGUGGUCGGCCACACUGGGACUGAGACACGGCCAAGACUCCUACGGGACGCAGCAGUAGGGAAUCUUCGGCAAUGGGGGGAACCCUGACCGAGAGACGCCGCGUGAGUGGAGAAGGUUUUCGGAUCGUAAAGCUCUGUUGUAAGAGAAGAACGGGUGUGAGAGUGGAAAGUUCACACUGUGACGGUAUCUUACCAGAAAGGGACGGCUAACUACGUG
This 497-nucleotide ribosomal RNA is filed under the name uncultured bacterium. RNAcentral's name for it is "partial 16S ribosomal RNA". It matches the Rfam family "Bacterial small subunit ribosomal RNA", at positions 28 to 507 of the family's 1533-position model. The record is from RNAcentral.